This 584-nucleotide ribosomal RNA is filed under the name uncultured bacterium. Its description in RNAcentral is "partial 16S ribosomal RNA". It matches the Rfam family "Bacterial small subunit ribosomal RNA", at positions 355 to 1375 of the family's 1533-position model. The record is from RNAcentral.
UGGGGAAUUUUGGACAAUGGGCGAAAGCCUGAUCCAGCAAUGCCGCGUGUGUGAAGAAGGCCUUCGGGUUGUAAAGCACUUUUGUCCGGAAAGAAAUCCUUGGCUCUAAUACAGUCGGGGGAUGACGGUACCGGAAGAAUAAGCACCGGCUAACUACGUGCCAGCAGCCGCGGUAAUACGUAGGGUGCAAGCGUUAAUCGGAAUUACUGGGCGUAAAGCGUGCGCAGGCGGUUUGCUAAGACCGAUGUGAAAUCCCCGGGCUCAACCUGGGAACUGCAUUGGUGACUGGCAGGCUAGAGUAUGGCAGAGGGGGGUAGAAUUCCACGUGUAGCAGUGAAAUGCGUAGAGAUGUGGAGGAAUACCGAUGGCGAAGGCAGCCCCCUGGGCCAAUACUGACGCUCAUGCACGAAAGCGUGGGGAGCAAACAGGAUUAGAUACCCUGGUAGUCCACGCCCUAAACGAUGUCAACUAGUUGUUGGGGAUUCAUUUCCUAGUAACGUAGCUAACGCGUGAAGUUGACCGCCUGGGGAGUACGGUCGCAAGAUUAAAACUUAAAGGAAUUGACGGGGUCAUAGCUGUUUCCU